RNAcentral lists this long non-coding RNA (230 nucleotides) under Elaeis guineensis (African oil palm). RNAcentral describes it as "long non-coding RNA (EGUI_LNC026190)". Lineage: Eukaryota; Viridiplantae; Streptophyta; Magnoliopsida; Arecales; Arecaceae. The record is from RNAcentral.
UGGCUUUAGGGGUGGAGUUAAAGGCUGCUUGGGAGGGCAUCCUUUAUGCUUAGCAUGUUUAAGAGCUAACUCCAUAUCUUCUUGAAGGGCAAUUUUUCUAUUGUGAUUGAAUGGGUGCAGAGUCAAGAUAGGAGGACUAGCAAUCACUCCUCUUACAGGAUAUCUAGUAUCUAACAAGAGAGUGCACUACUUUUAUUGUGAUGUACAUUUAUUGAAAGACAAAUGGGACA